GAUGAAAGCUGGCGGCGCGCCUAACACAUGCAAGUCGAGCGAUUCUCUUCGGAGAAGAGCGGCGGACGGGUGAGUAACGCGUGGGUAACCUGCCCUGUACACACGGAUAACAUACCGAAAGGUAUGCUAAUACGAGAUAAUAUGCUUUUAUAGCAUGGUAGAAGUAUCAAAGCUUUUGCCGUACAGGAUGGACCCGCGUCUGAUUAGCUAGUUGGUAAGGUAACGGCUUACCAAGGAGACGAUAAGUAGCCUACCUGAGAGGGUGAUCGGCCACAUUGGAACUGAGACACGGUCCAAACUCCUACGGGAGGCAGCAGUGGGGAAUAUUGCACAAUGGGUGAAAGCCUGAUGCAGCAACGCCGCGUGAGCGAUGAAGGCCUUCGGGUCGUAAAGCUCUGUCCUCAAGGAAGAUAAUGACGGUACUUGAGGAGGAAGCCCCGGCUAACUACGUGCCAGCCGCCGCAGUAA
This 468-nucleotide ribosomal RNA is filed under the name uncultured bacterium. RNAcentral's name for it is "partial 16S ribosomal RNA". It matches the Rfam family "Bacterial small subunit ribosomal RNA", at positions 28 to 523 of the family's 1533-position model. The record is from RNAcentral.